Molecule: ribosomal RNA, 606 nt
Filed under: uncultured archaeon
Lineage: Archaea
Description: bacterial SSU rRNA
Rfam family: Archaeal small subunit ribosomal RNA
Source: RNAcentral
AUGCUCUACAUUUCUGUGUUGAUCCUGCCGGACCUGACUGCUAUCGGAUUGGUACUAAGCCAUGCGAGUCGUUGUAGCAAUACAAGGCGGACUGCUCAGUAACACGUAGUUAACUUAACCUAUGGAUGGGAAUAACCUCGGGAAACUGAGAAUAAUACCCAAUGGGCCACAGUGCCUGGAAUGGCCUGUGGUUGAAAUGAUUUAUCGCCGUAGGAUAGGACUGCGGCCUAUCAGCUUGUUGGUGAGGUAAUGGCCCACCAAGGCUAUAACAGGUACGGGCUCUGAGAGGAGGGGCCCGGAGAUGGGUACUGAGACACGGACCCAGGCCCUAUGGGGCGCAGCAGGCGAGAAACCUUUGCAAUGUGCGAAAGCACGACAAGGUUAAUCCGAGUGUCUCCUGCUAAAGGAGUCUUUUGUCAGUUGUAGAAUCACUGGUGAAUAAGGGGUGGGCAAGUUCUGGUGUCAGCCGCCGCGGUAAAACCAGCACCUCGAGUGGUCAGGAGGUUUAUUGGGCCUAAAGCAUCCGUAGCCGGUUGCAUAAGUUUUCGGUUAAAUCUAUGCGCUUAAGUAUAGGCCGCGAAAAUCUGUUGCGCUAGGAGUGGGAGA